UUCGGCUUGCCCAUGCGUUGCCCUGUUGGAGGCUGCUGCAAUUCUGGCCCAAGUGCUCCAGACCGACUUAGAAUUUGAUGAUUUGGACGCAACUUAAUCCUGAUUAUCAGAGGCUUUUUCGGCUGCUCCAGUUGAGGCUCCGCUCCAGGUUGUGAGUAUGACAAAGAAGCUUUCUUUUCAUCUGGAGCAUGGUGUCUUGAAGAUGACUGCAAUUGAUUUUGCACUGCUUUCAGUUUAUUCAAUUCAGCAUAAACUUCUUCUUGUCCAAAAUUCUUAUUUGCAACUGCUUGUUGCAACUGAUUUUCCAUUGCUUUCGAUUUAUUCGAUUCACCAUAAAAUUCUUCUUGUCCCAAAUUCUUAUUUGCAACUGCUGGCCUUUGGAUGGAUGGUUUGUGCCUGUGAGAGCCAUGAAGAUCUUUCAACGACGGUGGUUGAUUCUUUGGUGCUGAGUUCUUCUUGAAAGUAUCGUGUACACCAGAAUCUUUUAUGGCGUGUAUGUACUUGGGCUCAAUGCUUGUAUGUACUUGUUUAGACAAAUUAUCACCUGAAUGAAGUAUCAAAAAGAAAGUAUUUUAAGCUGUUAGAGAACAAACCGUAAGAACAGUAAAGCAGAUGCAUUCUUAUAUAUAAAGAGUCACAAAUUAACUGAAUUGGCAGCGAACUUUACCAAGUUUAGGCCUUUUUGCAGGUGGUGCAGGAAGUUCAGAAUCCGGGCCGAACAGGAAAGAAUAGUCCCGAGAUUCUCUAAUCAUUUGACAUUUCAUUUUUCGAUCAAGAACACUAACUGAUGGAGUUUUGUCCUGGAUGGGGCAAUUAAAAUAUGAUUAUUUUAAUGCUAAACUAGACCCAAUAACCUUAAGCAAAAAUGGAAAUUGUAAAUUGAAAACUGUCUUACGAUACAAACGAACAUACACUCGGGAGUGAGAUGAUAAUACUCACAGUAAUGGUGGGCUUUACAGCCUUGGUUGCCAACGGCCGCUGCCUCAGUGUUCUUUCUCUGAUUAGUCUUUUAACGGCGGCAGGUUGGGAGGAGUCAGAUAUGAAGAAUGAACCAGAGCUGCUGUAAAGAUAAAGGCAUAACAGAUUAGAUAUUAGGGCAAUCGGAAGCUUGAAACUAUUACUACUUUAGGGCAUAAAUCAUAAAGGAAUAGAAAAUCAAGAACUCUUUGGAAGUUCUUGCAGGAAAAAGACGUUAUAAACGUUAAAUCAAAUUAAAUAAAACUAAUCUUCUUCUCAUGAAAAAAAGACUCAAUGUUUCUUCUUAAGAAAAUAAAUCGCAGAAGGGAGAAGAAAAAAUCGUAAGGCAAGGAACCUUGUAUGAAACCCCACGUCCAUGGUCUCCUUAGAAAAGGAGAGACGUAAAUAUCAACAGCGAGAAUCAUGUCUUUCGGAUUCUCCAACCUCGAGCUACUCAAGAACAGAAUCAAGAUUCCCAUAUCGUUCGACUACAAAAACUGGCGAAAUUCCCGGAUUUCAGAUUGAAUCCUUCCGAAGGCCGGUCGAAAUCAGAAAUCUUGAUCGGUGAUUCUCUCUCGUUCUUGGUCAACUGGGAGAAAUUGACCCGGGCUGCCGAGAGCCUGGUUAUCGGCAGAGAAGAAGAAAGCCAAGCCGUGACCGAUUCUUGGUCCGAGACUUAAACUGGGUCCGACUCUCUGGUGAGUCCCACGACCCCGUUUCAGAGGUGAGAAUGUUGCAGAACGUGAAAGAAGAGAAAUUGAAGAAGACAUUCUCCUCCGCUGUUCUCCUUCGACUCCAAGAAAAUAAUAACUGGAAAAAGAAGUCCAAAGGGAUGAAAUCACUUACAGAUUUUUCUUCCUCAUUUUUGUUUUAACAGAUUCUCGGAGGAUAUUACUGGCGCAAAAGGUACGAAAAGAUGAGAAUGGAAGCGGCAGAGAGUCGAGAAAAUCGGAUGAUAUUACGCAGAGGAUGAAGUGGCGCGGGGAAGACGAAGUGUUGGGUAUUUAUAGGGUAACAAUAAUAAAAACGAUGUCGUUUUCUGCGGUUGUAUUAAAACGAUGUCGUUUGGAUGUUUGAAGAAGAUGGGUCGGGCUCUUCCUCUGGUUUUUUUUGCUGGGCUUUUGGAUAUUAUUUUGUGGUAAUUGAUUAAAACGGCUAAGCUUUAGGUUUUAUUGUGUUGGGUUCCUUAAUUUGGGUCUUGAAAAGUUUCAAGGUAUGUCCAAUAAGAAAUGUUCCCUAACUCAUCUUCCCAGCUGCCACUCCUGUAUUAAUGAACCAACUGGGAUUCUUCAUAGUAUCCCCAGCAACCAUGAAUUUUGAAGAGCUUCACCGAUCAAACCCAGAAAAAGAAGCCCUUAUACCUAAGUUGCAGAAAAUUUCCUCCAUUAAAAUGGCAUUCUUGACGCUUGAUCAACUGGCUUUUGUAUUUGGUCUCUUGGGUACAAACUACAGAGCUUCAUAUUUUUUCUUGGAUAAUUUUGUGUUCUUAAUCUAUAUAUAUUAAUUUCUCUGGUCUGCUAAUUUCUUGUUUUGCACAGGUAAUAUUGUGUCAUUCAUGGUGUUCUCGGCCCCAGUGUGAAGAGCAUUUCCCUUCCCUACUAACCUAUAUAUAAUAUUUAUAUCAUAUUCAUGUUUAAAUUAGUUUACUAAUUAUCUAUAAAACUUAAAUAGAUAAUAAUGUCAUCUAAUACAUUAUUUAUACUGUAACGUAUUUUUUAUACAUAAUUUCACAAAAAUUAAAAUAUAAAUAACGCACGAUACUAAAUUUUACAUAAAAUUAAAUUUUAAUAAAAAUUGUGUAUUAGAAAUUAAAUACUAAUUCUUUUAUUCUCAUAGUUUAUUAAAUAGUAGAGUGAAUCUAUUAUGGUCAAAAGAUUAAAUUGAUAAAAAAAUUAUUCAAUCAACUAUUUAUGUUUUAAUAGUACGAAUAUUUUGUUCAAAAUUUUUAAAUGGGUUUAUAAUUAAAUGUGUUGGUGAUAUUGCAGAGACCGGUGCUACGGACCAAGAGUGUUGAAUACAUGUCUUUCCUUUUGUCUUUCUUCCUAACUCUCUUUGCUACAAUGUAGUUCUUUUAUGGACUUUUUGUUAAGGAAUACUUCGUUGCAGUGAGUACUAUGAUUUCAUACAACUACCUACAUAAAUAUGUGGGUGUGUGUGUAUAUAUAUUUUAUAUAUAUAAUAUUUAUCGUGUUUUCAGCUACCAAAUGUGUUGGGAUUCAUGUUUGGAAUUGCUCAGAUGAUAUUAUACAUGAUAUAUAAGGAUGCAAACAAGAAUGGUGAUACAAAAUUGAGGGAGAAGAAUCAAGCUGUGUCGACUUCUAUGGUAUCAAUCAAGAACAUAGUUGAUGAUCAAGUAAAAUAUAGAGACAAAAAGAUCUGCACUUACAGCAACUCAAAUGUUAACAAUGUCUAAAUUAUCAUAUCACAAGGGUUUUUUUAUUAGAUUAAUAGAAACUAUUUUUUUUUUAAAAAUAUCUGUUGGUGAUUUUUAAAAAUUAAGUUAUUAUUAGUAUUUGAAAAAUGAAAAUACGCAGUGGUAGAAAAAAGAGUAAUAGUUAUGGAUGUCUCAGUUGUACAUACAAGUAUGAAUUAGUUAUAUUUAUUUAUUUUUAUAUAAUUUUUUUAUAAAUAAGUUGUCCGAGUAUCAUUAUCUCAUAAAUUGUAUUAAUUUAUAUACGAGUUCGAUAAAGACGUACUUUAUAAAACUCUUAAUAUAUUAAAGUAAUAAUUUAUAAUUUUAUAAGUAUAACCGGUACAUUCUAAUUUUUUUUUUUAUAUUAUUUAAACAAAAAUUUGAAUUGACUUGAUUAUAGUUACGAUAUUGACAUUAACAACCUCGAAAAAUUAAUAUUAUAAAUGUACAAGUAUGUCCCUUACAAAUCUUGGUUUUCAAAAGUUAUACUAUGAAUAACAGUGUUCUCUAUAAUUCGCAGAAUCUACAAUAUUUCACUUUAAAAAUAUUUUCCUUUUUCUAGCAUUAUGUUCACAAUAAUUCCAUAAGUAUCUAAAAACUCACUUCCCAAAUCCCAAAUACACCCAAUACACUCAUUUUUCUUUUUCUUUUUCUUUAGAAUCUCUCUUUCCUUUUUCUCUCUGUUUUUUUUUUUUUUUUUGUAUGGGGGGGUCUUCACUGCUACAAACUUUCUCACAGAAUUCUUCUUCAAUUCAAAGUCACUCGAAUUUAGCCUCCUUCCUGCCAAUUUUUGCACUGUAAAUACAAAGUAUUCAAAAAUUUAUGAGAUUACACAUCUCAGCAAAUGCAAACAAAAGGCAGAAAACAUUUGGAAUUAAGCAAACUACCAUACCUUCUCCCCUCCUCCUUCUGGAUAUCUUCAAAACUGGAGACCAUGCAUUCGAUAUCUCCAUCGUUGUAAACAGCUUUCAUAUAGCUAUUUCUGGCAUAAACCAUAUAUAAUUCAGCCAUGAAAAUAUGUGUUUUUUGAAUAAAAUAUUAUAGGAAAAUAACAUUUAACCAUGUAAAAUGGAAAAAAAAAUUGAUAAUAUGAAAAUCAAAAGGUCUUACCUAGCUAAUUUUUGAAGAAUUGAGUUCAUUUGAGACUCGAUAUACUCUUCAUCAACAAUUGAAGGCCUAGGGCGUUUAAGCUGGCACCCACCACAAAUGAAAACAACUCAGAAAGUGUCCAAGUUCCAAAAUUUCACACUAUGCAAAAUGAAAAAGAAAACGAAAGAUCGUGCCUGUGUGCAUUUACAUGCUUAUACUUGAGAGAAUUAUAUAAGUUUACCUCAUGUUUUUGAACAAUUAUCGGCUUUCCCAUGCGUUGUCCGGUUGGAGGCUGCAAAUUCUGCAAAUGUGCUUUAGAAUGAAUACAAUGAUUGGAAACAACUUAAGCCUAACUAUUAGAAUUUUUUUUUUUUUUUUCCUUUGGACUAUGUGCGUUUACAUCCUUAUCAUCGAGAGAUAAAGAGCUUCACCUCAUGUCCUUGAAUAAGCUUGGGCUUCCCCAUGCCAAGCUGUGUAGGAAGCUAUAAUGUUUACAAAGGUGUUUCAAAGUGAAUAUAUUGGGACACAACUUAAGUCCAAUUACAAGAUAUUUAUUUUGUCUAUAUGCAAUUACGCGCUUAUAUUUGAGAGAUAAAGAGUUUCACCUCAUGUCUUUGAAAAAGCUUCAGCUUCCCCAUACCACGCCCUGUAGGAAGCUGCAAUUUUUGAAAAGUGCUUCAGAAUAAAUAGAUUGAGAUUGCAGCUAAAGCUUGAUUGUAAGAUGAUUUCUUUUGUAUAUGCCCAAUUACAUGCUUAUACUUGAGAAAUAAAGAGUUUUACCUCAUCUCUUUGAAUAAGAUUCGGCUUCCCCAUGCCAUGCCUUGUUGGAGCCUGCAGUUUUUCAAAGGUGUUUCAGAAUGAAUCAAUUGAGAUGCAGCUGAAGCCUGAUUGCCGAUGAUUUCUUUUGUCUACGUGCAAUUACAUUCUUAUACUUGAGAACUAAAGAGUUUCACCUCUUGUCUUUGAAUAAGCUUCGGCCUCCCCAUGCAAUAGCCUGUUGGAGCCUGCAAUUUUUCAAAGGUGUUUCAGAAUGAAUUGAUUGAGACGCAGCUGAAGCCUGAUUGCCGAUGCUUUCUUUUGUCUACGUGAGAUUACAUGUUCAAACUUGAGAAAUAAAGAGUUUUACCUCAUGUCUUUGAAUAAGCUUCGGCUUCCCCAUGUCUUCCCUUGUUGGAGCCUGCAAUUUUUCAAAUGUGCUUUAGAAUGAAUUGAUUGGGACGCAACUGAAGCCUGAUUGCCGAUGAUUUCUUUUGUCUACGUGCAAUGACAUGCUUAUACUUGAGAACAAAAGCGUUUCACCUCAUGUCUUUGAAUAAGUUUCGGUUUUCCCAUGCCAUGCCCUGUUGUAGGCUGCAUUUUGCAAAAAUGCUUCGGAAUGAAUUGAUCGAAUGCAACUUAAGCCAAAUUACCAUAAAUUUCUUUUGUCUGUGUGUAUUUAUAUGUUCAAACUUGAGAUAUAAAGAGCUGACCUUAACCUCUUGUCUUUUAAUAAUCUUCGGCUUGCCCAUGCGUUGCCCUGUUGGAGGCUGCUGCAAUUCUGGCCCAAGUGCUCCAGACCGACUUAGAAUUUGAUGAUUUGGACGCAACUUAAUCCUGAUUAUCAGAGGCUUUUUCGGCUGCUCCAGUUGAGGCUCCGCUCCAGGUUGUGAGUAUGAAAAAGAAGCUUUCUUUUCAUCUGGAGCACGGUGUCUUGAAGAUGACUGCAACUGAUUUUGCACUGCUUUUAGUUUAUUCAAUUCAGCAUAAACUUCUUCUUGUCCAAAAUUCUUAUUUGCAACUGCUUGUUGCAAC
RNAcentral lists this long non-coding RNA (6250 nucleotides) under Carica papaya (papaya). RNAcentral's name for it is "long non-coding RNA (CPAP_LNC008719)". Lineage: Eukaryota; Viridiplantae; Streptophyta; Magnoliopsida; Brassicales; Caricaceae. The record is from RNAcentral.